This 492-nucleotide ribosomal RNA is filed under the name uncultured bacterium. RNAcentral's name for it is "partial 16S ribosomal RNA". It matches the Rfam family "Bacterial small subunit ribosomal RNA", at positions 29 to 507 of the family's 1533-position model. The record is from RNAcentral.
AGUGAACGCUGGCGGUAGGCCUAACACAUGCAAGUCGAACGGCAGCACAGUAAGAGCUUGCUCUUACGGGUGGCGAGUGGCGGACGGGUGAGGAAUACAUCGGAAUCUACUUUUUCGUGGGGGAUAACGUAGGGAAACUUACGCUAAUACCGCAUACGACCUACGGGGGAAAGCAGGGGAUCUUCGGACCUUGCGCGAUUGAAUGAGCGGAUGUCGGAUUAGCUAGUUGGCGGGGUAAAGGCCCACCAAGGCGACGAUCCGUAGCUGGUCUGAGAGGAUGAUCCGCCACACUGGAACGGAGACACGGUCCAGACUCCUACGGGAGGCAGCAGUGGGGAAUAUUGGACAAUGGGCGCAAGCCUGAUCCAGCCAUACCGCGUGGGUGAAGAAGGCCUUCGGGUUGUAAAGCCCUUUUGUUGGGAAAGAAAAGCAGCAGGUUAAUACCCCGCUGUUCUGACGGUACCCAAAGAAUAAGCACCGGCUAACUUCGUG